This 513-nucleotide ribosomal RNA is filed under the name uncultured bacterium. RNAcentral describes it as "partial 16S ribosomal RNA". It matches the Rfam family "Bacterial small subunit ribosomal RNA", at positions 28 to 523 of the family's 1533-position model. The record is from RNAcentral.
GAUGAACGCUGGCGGCGUGCCUAAUACAUGCAAGUCGAGCGAACAGAUAAGGAGCUUGCUCCUUUGACGUUAGCGGCGGACGGGUGAGUAACACGUGGAUAACCUACCUAUAAGACUGUGAUAACUUCGGGAAACCGGAGCUAAUACCGGAUAACAUAUUGAACCGCAUGGUUCAAUAGUGAAAGGCGGCUUUGCUGUCACUUAUAGAUGGAUCCGCGCCGUAUUAGCUAGUUGGUAAGGUAACGGCUUACCAAGGCAACGAUACGUAGCCGAGCUGAGAGGGUGAUCGGCCACACUGGAACUGAGACACGGUCCAGACGCCUACGGGAGGCAGCAGUAGGGAAUCUUCCGCAAUGGGCGCAAGCCUGACUGAGCAACGCCGCGUGAGUGAUGAAGGUCUUCGGAUCGUAAAACUCUGUUAUCAGGGAAGAACAAAUGUGUAAGUAACUGUGCACAUCUUGACGGUACCUGAUCAGAAAGCCACGGCUAACUACGUGCCAGCCGCCGCAGUAA